This 5090-nucleotide long non-coding RNA is filed under the name Capsicum annuum. Its description in RNAcentral is "long non-coding RNA (CANN_LNC009896)". Lineage: Eukaryota; Viridiplantae; Streptophyta; Magnoliopsida; Solanales; Solanaceae. The record is from RNAcentral.
GGCAAUCUUCUUCCUUUAUUAUCAUCAAUAUUCCUUCUCAAGAUGGAGGGGAUCGAUGUGAGUCCCAUCUUGACAAGAAGACGAUGGUACGAUGGGCCAGAAAGAGACUUUGUGAAUAUGUCAAUUAGUUCAUCCUUGGAGGAAAGAUAAUAAAAAGAAAUGAGCCCUAAAAGAAAUUAUUGACGAAUAAAGUGACAGUCUAGUUUCACACAUUUUGUUCAUUCAUGGAAUAUGGGAUUUUGAGCGAUAUGGAUUGUUGUUUGACUGUAGGAAAGAACGAGUAUUGGUAACGUCGGUGGAACUGACAAAUCCAUCAGCAAACUAGUCAACCAAGUGAGUUCCAUCACUAAUCACCGCAUCGAUUGAUAUUCUGCCUCAGCGGAUGAAAAGAGACGGAUGCUUGUUUCUUGGAUUUCCAAGAAAUGGAAGAACCCCACUGUAAUGACCCUACAUUUCAUUUUUUCUAUUUUCAUUUAUUUUUGUUGUUAGAGCUUUCCCAUAUCCACUCUAAGUCAUUUAUGACUUGUUGGGAAUGAUAGUCCAUUUAUCGAGCUGUUCAUUUGAUUUUUAGAGUCAAUUCCCUAUUUAAAAUCUUUACUGGUUCCAAAUUUACACCAGAAAAAACUUUAGUAAAAUAAUCUUGGAUAUAAAUUUUAAUUGUGCCAGCAAUUCUGAAAUAUUGAUUUUAGGUUAGGUAGACCUUUGGUUUGGGCCUCGGGGCACCCAAUCUCAUUUUGACCUAUUAGUUAAAAAAUUGGACAAUUGAAAAUUCGAGUGUGGGAUUCAUAUUUGAUCGAAACAACCUCAGAUUAAAAAUUCAAAUUUGUCAUUGCAUCAGGAAUAUUGAAUUUAGUGUGAUUACAUAGUUCUUUUACAUAUAUAGGAUUUCAAAUGAGUCCCGAGGCCUUAGCAAAAACUUGAAAAUUCUAAGUUUCAGCUUUCAACUGAUAUCUGGUGCCAUGGCAAUCGCACCCCCUAGGUUUCUAAUUAUAUUUCAAUAUGCAUAGGGGGUAUUACGAUCGCACAAGAGUAUGUUGCGAUCGUAACAUAUGUUUUUUACACCAUAUGGUACGAUUAUGGUCUGCAUGUUGUGAUUGCAACAUCUGAUUACUUGGUAUGGGCAUAAAUAGAUCCCAAUCUCGUGAAUUUGCUCAUUUCCACUUCUUCCAUUGAGAGAAAAACCCUAAAAAGGUAAGAUAUAUUUAAAUUGAGUCUUAUGGGUGACUUGGAAACUUGAUUAACAUCUAUUAUCGCGAAUAUCUUCGGAUUUGAGGUAACAUUUCAUCCCUUUCUUGGUGAAAUUAUUGGUUCUUGAUCCAAAACCCCAAAUAGCUUGAGGGGUUGAUUUUAUCCCCAAAUUAGCUUAGUUUUCACCUAUUUCUUGAAGGUUAUGAUUCUUUGAUCAUGUAUGAAAGUUGGGCUAACCUCGUAAAUGUGAUUUUUGUAAGUGGGACCCAUUUGGUAUUUUUGGUGUCAUUUUUGGACCUGAAGUACAAUGGUACAAUAUGGAUAUCAUUAUUCUCAUAUUGAUGAGUAGAUUAAGAUUUUUUACCGUAAUGGCAUUUUAGGAUUAUGAAGUAGAGAUGGAUGUUUCGUGAAUGGUGUAAGGAUUUGCAGUUCAACUUUGAGGUAGGCUUCUAUCUACUCUUCUUUGUAAGAUGAUGCAUGUUAUGUAUUGCGUGUGAAUGUGAAUGUUAAGUUUGAUUAUAGGUAGAAUGACUUAGUAUUAAAUAUUAAAGUUUGAGGAUAAGAUGAGGGUUUUGACCCAUAAGUUGAAAUAUUUUAUCCCUUUUAGAAUCAUAUUGCCUCCUUCUUAGAUUGAACUAAUUCAUAGAAUGAAUAUGAUAUGAUGCUAGGGAUGUGGUUUAAGCAUUGGAAGCAUGGUUAGUAUAGUUAACCUUAUUUGGGCUAUUGUGGUGAUAUUAAAAUAUUAGUUUAGGUAGAGUUGAAUUAAAUGCCCAUAUUUCUAGAUAAAGUUCCUAUCUUAGGAUUGGAUAUGGCUUACUUGACAUCUAGAAGUUGAACUAGAUACCUUAGCCUAGUUGGGGUGUAAAUUUCUUAAAUAUGUAAAUUAAGGAUCAGAAGUGUGUUCCUCAAACCCACCUUAGGCUAAGACUUAUCUUAGCCCUUGUGGACUUAAUUGUGGAUGUUAUGCAUAGUUGAGACUAUUGAGCCUUUAGAACAAGUUUACUUCAUGGCUUGGUAAAUUAUGAUGAGUUUUCCCGAAUUAUGACUUAAUGGCUUGUGGCUAUGCUAUGGCAUUCUGGACUUGACUUAUUGUGUAGUCCAUUGACAUGCUUGAUAAUAUAGACAUGGGCAUAGUCAUGAUAAUUGGCCUAUAGAGAUGAUAUUCCUCUUAGGUGUGAUAUUUGGCCUAUAGAGAUGAUAUUUCUCUUAGAUAUUUGUCCUAUAGCGAUGAUAUUCCUCUUAUAUUUGAUAUUUGGCCUAUAGAGAUGAUAUUCCUCUUAGAUGUAUAUUUAAUCUAUAGAGAUAAUAUUCCCCUUAGAAGUGAUAUUUGGCCUAUAGAGAUGAUAUUCUCCAUAGAUAUGAUAUUUGACAUAUAGAGAUGAUAUUUCUCCAUAGUUAUGAUAUGUGGACUAUAGAUGCGAUAUGUCUUAUAGAUAUGAUAUCUGUCUCCUAGAUAUGAGAUGCUUAUUGAUAUAUUGUGCCUCCUAGAUGUGAGAUGCUUAUUUAUACAUUAUGCCUCCUAGAUGUGAUAUGGUUAUUGAUAUAUUAUGUCUCCUAGAUACGAGAUGCUUCAUAUAUGUGAGAUGGUUAUAGAUAUGUUUUAUGGCUUAUAAAGAUAUUAUGCCCUAUGAAUAUUCUAUGGCUUAUAGAUUUGAGAUGAUUUAUGGACAUGAUUAUUGAUAUGGGUUCCAGAUAUAUCUAUGGGUCAAAGGUCGUGAUUAUGAGGUCGUAAUUAUUUCAUAAAUAUUAUUGGGCCCAAGGUCGUGUUAUGAUAUGAGUUGACUAUCCAGGAAGUGUUUAUCCUUUUAAAGGAUGUGAUUUUAGUUUAUUGAUAUAAUGUAUUUAUCCUUGUAAAGGAUGUGAUUGUAGUUUAUUGAUAUAUUAAUGCUUAUGGUUCCAUUGUAUGAAUACUGGUGAUGGCAUACAUAGAUUUGGUACAUUUAUAAGCUGGAAAGAUCAUUGAUACAGUUCCAAUUAUAUUAUAAUCUUAUUGUUGUUGUAACUAAUUAAGGGUUAAAGACCACUUUUUACCUUAAAAUGGAUUUCUUAAUAAUAAUAAUAAAUGCAUGUUUUAAUAAUAACUUAGAUGUAAAAGAGAUUAAUAAUGAUGUUUUAAAAACUUGACCAAGAUAGAUUUCGGUCUAUGAUUUGUAUUACUAAUUAUUUUGGUCGUGAAAGACUCCGACCCUUUCUACACUUUCAUAAUGAUUUGCUACAGAGGCCACUCCAGUAAAUAAACUUACAUAUUUACACUUUUUUUAGCCACCGAUUGAGUUCGUGCACCCAUCAUAUCUAGAUACAUAUCUCUUUCGUAUGGGACAACAGAAGAUGCUAGAUUGAUAACAUAACUUUUAGGUAAAACCCAAUGACAAAUUUUAGUAUUGAUUUUAUAUAUAUGUGUAUGUGUGUUGAUGAUUAUGAUGAUACUAAUUAUAUACCCUGGAUGGCCGGAAGAUGACUAUAAUGAUAUGCUUAUAUACCUGGCAAGGCCAGAGGAUACUAUAAUCAUGAUGUUGAUAUCUGACAAGAUCAGAGGAUAUUGUAAUGAUGAUUAUUAAUACCCAUAAAGGCUAGAAUAUGAUUAUAUUUAUGUGCCUAGGUGUACAUCUACCGGUUUGAGUCUGGCUAUCCCUAUAUAUAUACCCGACAAGGUCGGAGAAUGGUUAUGAUGAUGAUGGUUAUGAUGACGAUUGUUAAGAUGAUGAUAUUUGGAGCAGUUAUGGUAUUGUGGAUUCUAAUGCAUUCAUUCGUACAUGUGUCUUGCCUAUUACCAAUAAGCGCUUAUAUCUAUCAGCUCAUAUGAGGGGCUGCAUAGGUAUGGGUGAUGAUUAUACUUUGUGGUAUGUUGUAUGUUGAUUGAACCUUCUGAUCCUGGGACGGUGGGGUCACGUGAUAGGCUCAACUAGGUAUUUGAUUGUACGGCUUGUAUAGUUAUAUGUAUCUUCUUUCCUUUCUUACUUGCAUACUAGCCAGUGAUAUACGAUAUAGUAUUGAGAUUCCUAAGUAUGGCUGGAAUAGGAUAGUGCAUUCUUACUACUUCCUUAGACUUAAUACAAUAGUCUCUUGGGCAUGAAUAGGAUAGUUUAUCCUUAUUAUCUUAUUGGUUAUCUUGUAUGAUUGCUGGAUAUUUGGGUGUAGUUUGUCAUUCUAUUUAUAUAUUAUAUAUAUAUCUACUUUAUCUUUGGAGCUCAGUCGGUAGUUGCCUAUUGAGUGUCGCGUGUUUGAUACUCAUACUACACUUUUGUAGCCUACAGAUCAUAAUACAAGUUAUCAUCAUUGAUGUAUGUGUCAUGAGAAGCACCAAUGAUUCGGAGACUUAGAGUGAGCUCCUGACAUUCGGAGUAUUACUUAUCUUUCUCUUAUGUAUUAGACUAGUCUCUAUACUAUAUUCAGAUAUAAGUUAUAUCAAUGUAUUCACUUGUUGUCACUUUGAAAUCCUAUUGUGUAGAAGCUCUUGUACUGAUACCAUCAGGUUUUGGGAUUAUAUUAUGUAUUUAAUUUGAUAUUAUAUCAUUUUCACGUUCUUUUCUUUAUCUCUUUGGUAGUUCGUUUCUAGUUGUUCCAGACUAUGGAUUUUGCUUGCCUACUAGUGGAUCAUAGUAGGUUCCAUCACGAUCCAAGAAAUUGAUUUGUGAUACCCACAUGCAGAUGAAAAAUCCACUGAUUGAUCAACGAGAAUCUAGCCAAGAUACAUAAUUCGUUUCACAAAAUGCAUUAAGAGAGAACGAUGGAUAUGCAAAUAAGAAAAUCCCUUAAUAAGAAUGUCCUUUCAGGUAAAGCAAUACUCUUAGAGAUACUGUAAAAUGUAAUUCAUAUGAAUUUUACAUAUAUUGACUUAAUGACAAUAUCGCGUAGGACAGAUAUGGCCUGGUAUGAGUUACCUAAUUAGAUGCAUGUAAAUA